AGAGUUUGAUCAUGGCUCAGAUUGAACGCUGGCGGUAUGCUUAACACAUGCAAGUCGAACGGUAACAGGAAAAGCUUGCUUUUCGCUGACGAGUGGCGGACGGGUGCGUAAUGCGUAGGAAUCUCCCUAGUAGUGGGGGACAACUCGGAGAAAUUCGAGCUAAUACCGCAUAAGCCCUACGGGGGAAAACGGGGGAUCUUCUGACCUCGUGCUAUUAGAUGAGCCUACGUUAGAUUAGCUUGUUGGUGAGGUAAAAGCUCACCAAGGCGACGAUCUAUAGCUGGUCUGAGAGGAUGAUCAGCCACACCGGGACUGAGACACGGCCCAGACUCCUACGGGAGGCAGCAGUGGGGAAUAUUGGACAAUGGGCGAAAGCCUGAUCCAGCAAUACCGCGUGUGUGAAGAAGGCCUGAGGGUUGUAAAGCACUUUCAAUUGGGAGGAAUACCUAAUGGUUAAUAGCCAUUAGAUGACA
This 473-nucleotide ribosomal RNA is filed under the name uncultured bacterium. Its description in RNAcentral is "bacterial SSU rRNA". It matches the Rfam family "Bacterial small subunit ribosomal RNA", at positions 8 to 474 of the family's 1533-position model. The record is from RNAcentral.